This 223-nucleotide ribosomal RNA is filed under the name uncultured bacterium. RNAcentral describes it as "partial 16S ribosomal RNA". It matches the Rfam family "Bacterial small subunit ribosomal RNA", at positions 692 to 917 of the family's 1533-position model. The record is from RNAcentral.
AGAUAUCACACAGAAUAUCGAUUGCGAAGGCAGCUCACAAAGCCAUUAUUGACGCUGAUGCACGAAAGUGUGGGGAUCAAACAGGAUUAGAUACCCUGGUAGUCCACACCGUAAACGAUGAUAACUCGCUGUCGGCGAUACACAGUCGGUAGCCAAGCGAAAGCGAUAAGUUAUCCACCUGGGGAGUACGACCGCAAGGUUGAAACUUAAAGGAAUUGGCGGG